GAUGAAGAACGUAGCGAAAUGCGAUAAGUAAUGUGAAUUGCAGAAUUCAGUGAAUCAUCGAAUCUUUGAACGCACAUUGCGCCCCCUGGUAUUCCGGGGGGCAUGCCUGUCCGAGCGUCAUUGCUGCCCUCAAGCACGGCUUGUGUGUUGGGCCUCCGUCCUCCUGCCGGGGGACGGGCCCGAAAGGCAGCGGCGGCACCGCGUCCGGUCCUCGAGCGUAUGGGGCUUCGUCACCCGCUCUUGUAGGCCCGGCCGGCGCUUGCCGACACAUCAAUCUUUUUUCCAGGUUGACCUCGGAUCAGGUAGGGAUACCCGCUGAACUUAAGCAUAUCAAUAAGCGGAGGA
RNAcentral lists this unclassified non-coding RNA (345 nucleotides) under soil metagenome. RNAcentral describes it as "partial contains 5.8S ribosomal RNA, internal transcribed spacer 2, and large subunit ribosomal RNA". The stretch from base 1 to 120 matches the Rfam family "5.8S ribosomal RNA", at positions 35 to 154 of the family's 154-position model. The record is from RNAcentral.